GAGGGUGUAAUUCAGGGGUAGAGUACAUGCCUAGCAUGCAUGAGGUCCUGGGUUCAAUCCCUAGUACCUCCA
RNAcentral lists this transfer RNA (72 nucleotides) under Camelus bactrianus (Bactrian camel). It matches the Rfam family "tRNA". From Rfam's summary of the family: Transfer RNA (tRNA) molecules are approximately 80 nucleotides in length. Their secondary structure includes four short double-helical elements and three loops (D, anti-codon, and T loops). The record is from Rfam by way of RNAcentral. RNAcentral also lists the same sequence under 2 other names. Lineage: Eukaryota; Metazoa; Chordata; Mammalia; Artiodactyla; Camelidae.